Molecule: long non-coding RNA, 638 nt
Filed under: Heterocephalus glaber (naked mole-rat)
Lineage: Eukaryota; Metazoa; Chordata; Mammalia; Rodentia; Bathyergidae
Description: lncRNA (ENSHGLG00100038398.1)
Source: RNAcentral
GAUGGAUUUCCAGCAAACUAGGCCAUCCAGUGCCCAUGGCGCGAGGAGCCGAGAUUGAAGAAAGGCUUCCUUUUCAUCCUACCCCAGCAAGAGUACAGAGGCAGAGUCCCCCGUGUCCCCCAAACAAUGACGACACAGAGGCCAUAGAAACGUCUUUAUUGAAGAGGACAGGAUCAUGCGUAGUUUGGGGACAUGCAGUGAAGGGACAGUCGUGAGCUGUCCUUGGUGUUCGGGGGCCCAGGUCUGCCCUAGACCCGCGGGGCCUUCAGGUUCUCCCUCAGGCUGUUGGUCUGGCCCAAGUGCUGUGAGGGGCCAGUGACUCAAAUUUGCUGUCUUAGACCUGUGACCAGAAGGGCAAGGUGGAAAAGGGAUCUUCAUUAAUGGUGCGGUUCUCAUCCCCACUGAUGAGUGACUCAAGAAUGUCCUGUUAUAGAGCAUUAUGUGGAGAGGAUCACCAUCAUUUGGAGUGUGGAAAUCUGUUAAUUGGGAGUCUGGUCUGAGAGGCUGGGGACAGGAACUAACCUGAAGGUGCUACUCAGGGAAUUUAUUUCUGGGUGACGUAAGCAUCCAGGGAAACCAACAGCAGAAGAGCAACCUGAAAGGAGAACCAGAUCAUACUGUCACGAGCGUGUAGGGAC